UUAGAGCACAUCACUCAUAAUGAUGGGGUCACAGGUUCGAAUCCCGUCGUAGCCACCA
RNAcentral lists this transfer RNA (58 nucleotides) under Vibrio cholerae. RNAcentral's name for it is "tRNA-Met". It matches the Rfam family "tRNA", at positions 19 to 71 of the family's 71-position model. Rfam says of the family: Transfer RNA (tRNA) molecules are approximately 80 nucleotides in length. Their secondary structure includes four short double-helical elements and three loops (D, anti-codon, and T loops). The record is from RNAcentral. Lineage: Bacteria; Pseudomonadati; Pseudomonadota; Gammaproteobacteria; Vibrionales; Vibrionaceae.